ACAACUUUUAACGGUGGAUCUCUUGGCUCGUGCAUCGA
This 38-nucleotide ribosomal RNA is filed under the name Cirrhipathes spiralis. RNAcentral's name for it is "partial 5.8S ribosomal RNA". The record is from RNAcentral. Lineage: Eukaryota; Metazoa; Cnidaria; Anthozoa; Antipatharia; Antipathidae.